This 68-nucleotide transfer RNA is filed under the name Rattus norvegicus (Norway rat). RNAcentral's name for it is "tRNA-Pro". Lineage: Eukaryota; Metazoa; Chordata; Mammalia; Rodentia; Muridae. The record is from RNAcentral.
CAAGAAGUAGUUUAAGUAGAAUAUCAGCUUUGGGUGUUGAUGGUGGGGAGGUAGUUCCUUCUUCUGGA